CCCGAGCGCCUAUUGUAAUCAUCGGUUACAACUCAGCUCAUACAUGAAAGUAUAGCUGGUGGUCCAUACUUGAUGGUGGAGUGUCACUGGCAAUCACCAAAGAUCACAUCUUUAAGAAGCUCGAGGAAGCAACCAAUAUUUGAUUGCUUCCAUAGGGUUUGCUAGGGUUGAGUUGAAUUUGGAGAUGUUUAAUCUUUAAGCAUAUGAUUUGAUGAUCUUACAGUACAAAUAUUUAACCAUAGAAUUUGGAGAUGUUUGAUCUUGGUUGGAACAUGCUAAGGCAAAGAAAUGGAGCAGAGGAAAGGGGGAUUUGUUUCCAGUGAUAGUGGGUGUGACAACAAUUGCUAUAAAGGAGAAAGUGUAGUGGCUUUUAGAAAAGGAAAAAGAGGGAAGAAAGAGAGAGGGGGUUGCCACCAAAGGAAGAGAGGUUGUCAGUUGUUGGUUAUCGAUUGCCAAUCGCCAAUCACAUCACUAUUGAAUGCAAGGAGAGUUGCAAGGAGGGUAAGCCAAUUCGUUGGUUGGGAAAAUCAUUUCUUAUUUAGCGUUUCUCGGUUUUAGUGUGUUUAAUAUAAUAUUUAUAAAUUUAUAUAUGUAGAAAAAUAAAUAUAUAACUUAGUGGCAAAACAUGCGCUAUCACUAAUAUAGAUUUUGAUGAUAAAUGUGAAAUAAUUGUCAAUCAAGAUAUUAUUUAUCAUAAUACUUGGCAUGGAUUGACUAUCUUUGUAUUAUGCCAACAUAGAUUGUUAUACAAAAGUGAUCACUUUAUGCAUACCAAAUCAGCCCAUUCUUUAUUUUAAGGUUAUUAGGUAUGAUUCAUCGCCUUGUCUUAUAUCAUGACGUCAAGCUUAUCAUCAUAAACAAAAAGGUUGUUGUUGCUAUCUUGUAUGGGUAAAGGAG
Molecule: long non-coding RNA, 897 nt
Filed under: Musa acuminata (dwarf banana)
Lineage: Eukaryota; Viridiplantae; Streptophyta; Magnoliopsida; Zingiberales; Musaceae
Description: long non-coding RNA (MACU_LNC006857)
Source: RNAcentral